GACGAACGCUGGCGGCGUGCUUAACACAUGCAAGUCGAACGCUGAAGCUCAGCUUUUGUUGGGUGGAUGAGUGGCGAACGGGUGAGUAACACGUGAGUAACCUGCCUCCUUCUUUGGGAUAACGCCCGGAAACGGGUGCUAAUACUGGAUAUUCACUGGUCUUCGCAUGGGGGUUGGUGGAAAGGGUUUUUCUGGUGGGGGAUGGGCUCGCGGCCUAUCAGCUUGUUGGUGGGGUGUUGGCCUACCAAGGGUUUGACGGGUAGCCGGCCUGAGCGGGUGACCGGUCACAUUGGGACUGAGAUACGGCCCAGACUCCUACGGGAGGCAGCAGUGGGGAAUAGUGCACAAUGGGCGCAAGCCUGAUGCAGCGACGCCGCGGGAGGGAUGGAGGCCUUCGGGUUGUGAACCUCUUUCGCUCAUGGUCAAGCCGCAACAAUGGUUGUGGUGAGGGUAGUGGGUAAAGAAGCGCCGGCUAACUACGUG
This 483-nucleotide ribosomal RNA is filed under the name uncultured bacterium. Its description in RNAcentral is "partial 16S ribosomal RNA". It matches the Rfam family "Bacterial small subunit ribosomal RNA", at positions 28 to 507 of the family's 1533-position model. The record is from RNAcentral.